AUGACUUCGAUGAACCACGCACUUUGGCACCAACUGGAUUAUUCCUUGGUGGUAAGUCGCCAUGAAGGCAGCCAACACACGCGACCUCCCUCUCUCUCGCUUCCUCUCCCACGUAACCCGCCGCCACUAGCAUCGCCAGCAAGAGAGCAACUGGCUGCACCGACAUGGUCGGGCCUCGAGGAAGGAGUGGGUGGAGGUGAAACUGGGUGGGAGGAGAAGGCGGCGGCAGAGUCUGCUGCAGUUUCUAUUUGUGACCUACCUCGACGCUGGAGGCGGCAGAUCCAUCCAGUCGAAGUGUCUGUGGAGGAAGAAGCCGUUGUUGACGGACUAAGGGUCAGGUGA
RNAcentral lists this ribosomal RNA (342 nucleotides) under Triticum aestivum (bread wheat). RNAcentral describes it as "partial small subunit ribosomal RNA". The record is from RNAcentral. Lineage: Eukaryota; Viridiplantae; Streptophyta; Magnoliopsida; Poales; Poaceae.